Molecule: non-coding RNA, 1805 nt
Filed under: Alphaproteobacteria bacterium RIFCSPHIGHO2_12_FULL_66_14
Lineage: Bacteria; Pseudomonadati; Pseudomonadota; Alphaproteobacteria
Description: bacterial LSU rRNA
Rfam family: Bacterial large subunit ribosomal RNA
Source: RNAcentral
GAUCAAGCACAAUAAGGGCGUUUGGCGGAUGCCUUGGCACUGAGAGGCGAUGAAGGACGUGGCAGGCUGCGAUAAGCUUCGGGGAGUUGCCAGCACACUUUGAUCCGAAGAUUUCCGAAUGGGGAAACCCCAUCCAUCAGGAUGAUCGUCGACUGAAUCCAUAGGUCGACGAGGCAAACCCAGGGAACUGAAACAUCUCAGUACCUGGAGGAAAGGACAUCAACAGAGACUCCGCUAGUAGUGGCGAGCGAACGCGGACUAGGCCAGUGACACGAUCGUAAGAACCGGAACACUCUGGAAAGGGUGGCCAUAGCGGGUGAUAGCCCCGUACGGGUAGAAAGCGGUCGGGUCCUUGAGUAGGGCGGGACACGUGCAAUCCUGUCUGAACACGGGGGGAUCACCCUCCAAGCCUAAGUACUCCUCAGUGACCGAUAGUGAACAAGUACCGUGAGGGAAAGGUGAAAAGCACCCCGACAAGGGGAGUGAAAUAGACCUGAAACCGAACGCCUACAAACAGUCGGAGGCCGCAAGGCUAACGGCGUACCUUUUGUAUAAUGGGUCAGCGACUUACUCUGUGCAGCAAGCUUAAGCCGAUAGGUGUAGGCGCAGCGAAAGCGAGUCUGAAUAGGGCGCUUAGUUGCACGGAGUAGACCCGAAACCGGGUGAUCUAGUCAUGGGCAGGUUGAAGGUGUGGUAACACGCACUGGAGGACCGAACCGGUUACCGUUGCAAAGGUAUCGGAUGACCUGUGAUUAGGGGUGAAAGGCCAACCAAACUCGGAAAUAGCUGGUUCUCCGCGAAAACUAUUUAGGUAGUGCGUCGAAUGAUUACCGCCGGGGGUAGAGCACUGGAUGGGCUAGGGGGAUCCAAAGUCUUACCAAACCUAACCAAACUCCGAAUACCGGCGAGUACAGUUCGGCAGACAGACGGCGGGUGCUAAGGUCCGUCGUCGAGAGGGAAACAGCCCAGACCGCCAGCUAAGGUCCCUAAGUCAUGGCUAAGUGGGAAAGGAUGUGGGAAGGCCAAAACAACCAGGAGGUUGGCUUAGAAGCAGCCAUCCUUUAAAGAAAGCGUAAUAGCUCACUGGUCUAAAUAAGCCAGCCUGCGCCGAAGAUGUACCGGGGCUCAAGCCAUGCACCGAAGCUGCGGACUCGAAAGAGUGGUAGCGGAGCGUUCCGUAAGCCUGUGAAGGGAUAGGGGUGACCCGUCCUGGAGGUAUCGGAAGUGAGAAUGCUGACAUGAGUAGCGAUAAGAAGCGUGAGAGACGCUUCCGCCGUAAGUCCAAGGGUUCCUGCGCAAGGUCAAUCCGCGCAGGGUUAGCCGGCCCCUAAGUCGAGGGCGACAGCCGUAGACGAUGGGAACCAGGUCAAUAUUCCUGGGCCUGCUGAAGGUGACGGAUCCCAUAAGUGGUUCUAGCUCGUUGGCGAAUGCUAGGACGAUGGAGGGGUUCCAGGAAAUAGCCUCAGCAUAUAGACCGUACCCUAAACCGACACAGGUGGACUGGUAGAAUAUACCAAGGCGCUUGAGGGAACGGUGUUGAAGGAACUAGGCAAAUUUCCCCCGUAACUUCGGGAUAAGGGGGCCUCCAUCGGUCUCGAUGGAGGGGCACAAACUAGGGGGUGGCGACUGUUUAACAAAAACACAGGGCUCUGCUAAGCCGUGAGGCGAAGUAUAGGGUCUGACGCCUGCCCGGUGCCGGAAGGUUAAGAGGAGAGGUUCACGCCUUGAAUCGAAGCCCCGGUAAACGGCGGCCGUAACUAUAACGGUCCUAAGGUAGCGAAAUUCCUUGUCGGGUAAGUUCCGAC